GAGAACAUAGAAGAGGAAGAAGAAGAGAA
RNAcentral lists this small RNA (29 nucleotides) under Arabidopsis thaliana (thale cress). RNAcentral describes it as "ATSL017800". The record is from RNAcentral. Lineage: Eukaryota; Viridiplantae; Streptophyta; Magnoliopsida; Brassicales; Brassicaceae.